Long non-coding RNA from Lycium barbarum (goji berry), 334 nucleotides. RefSeq lists it as uncharacterized. Lineage: Eukaryota; Viridiplantae; Streptophyta; Magnoliopsida; Solanales; Solanaceae. The transcript has 2 exons. The record is from RefSeq and is a predicted model, not a curated record.
AUUUCUAAAUUAGAUAAGAUGAAUAGUAAUUACAUGAUCUCUAGCUAGAUUCAACUAUAUAAACAACGUAAGAAAUUUCAUAUACCUCACAGCAAAUUAACUUCAAAUAUAUAUCCUUUAGUUCUUCUUGUCUUUAGCCAGGGUACAAAAUAUGAAGGGUACAAUAGUUAUGAGGUUCAUUGUGGUUGUUUUAGUUAUGUUGGUGAUGACUUCUAGCUUGGCCACGAGCAGAAAAUUAAUCGACAAUAAAGAAGACGAUGAUAAUGGUGUUUGGCAGGAAGGAAGUACAAAUGUGAAUAAUCACCAUUAUAAACCUAGGCAAGACUUCAACAAU